GACGAACGCUGGCGGCGUGCUUAACACAUGCAAGUCGUACGACAGCAUUUCCUUUUAGGUUGUGUUUGGAGUGGCGAACGGGUGAGUAACACGUGAGUGACCUGCCCUUCACUUUGGGAUAACGUGCGGAAACGUGCGCUAAUACCAAAUAUUCGCAUUUCUGCUGCAUGGUGGGGUGUGGAAAGGGGCCUUCGGGUUCUGGUGGGGGAGUGGGCUACCAAGGCGACGACGGGUAGCCGGCCUGAGAGGGCGACCGGCCACACUGGGACUGAGACACGGCCCAGACUCCUACGGGAGGCAGCAGUGGGGAAUCUUGCGCAAUGGGCGAAAGCCUGACGCAGCGACGCCGCGUGAGGGAUGAC
RNAcentral lists this ribosomal RNA (362 nucleotides) under uncultured bacterium. RNAcentral describes it as "bacterial SSU rRNA". It matches the Rfam family "Bacterial small subunit ribosomal RNA", at positions 28 to 412 of the family's 1533-position model. The record is from RNAcentral.